GACGAACGCUGGCGGCGUGCUUAACACAUGCCAGUCGAACGGAAAGGCCCUGCUUUUGUGGGGUGCUCGAGUGGCGAACGGGUGAGUAACACGUGAGUAACCUGCCCUUGACUUUGGGAUAACUUCAGGAAACUGGGGCUAAUACCGGAUAGGAGCUCCUGCUGCAUGGUGGGGGUUGGAAAGUUUCGGCGGUUGGGGAUGGACUCGCGGCUUAUCAGCUUGUUGGUGGGGUAGUGGCUUACCAAGGCUUUGACGGGUAGCCGGCCUGGGAGGGUGACCGGCCACAUGGGGACUGAGAUACGGCGCAGACUCCUACGGGAGGCAGCAGUGGGGAAUAUUGCACAAUGGGCGGAAGCCUGAGGCAGCAACGCCGCGUGCGGGAUGACGGCCUUCGGGUUGUAAACCGCUUUCGCCUGUGACGAAGCGUGAGUGACGGUAAUGGGUAAAGAAGCACCGGCUAACUACGUG
This 468-nucleotide ribosomal RNA is filed under the name uncultured bacterium. Its description in RNAcentral is "partial 16S ribosomal RNA". It matches the Rfam family "Bacterial small subunit ribosomal RNA", at positions 28 to 507 of the family's 1533-position model. The record is from RNAcentral.